AAUUGGUGAUUAGGAUUUGACAAAUCGAAUUUAUUUAACUAUAGUCAAAAGGAAAAUGUUAUCGGAUUUGCGCUUAUAGUUCUCACUAAUGCAAUAGUAUGAAAGUUUUUGGAUGUGAUAACAUGUUUACUCGUAAAGAUUAUUGAGUGACAGUAUUAAUGGCCGAUUUACCGAAUGGCUGGGUUCAGCUGGUACCUUUCUGAAGGCUUCCAAGUAAUAAUUGAGAAGUCGAAGGACGCAAAAUGCUCUCUAAAAGAUAUUCAGUUGCGUUUCUUGUGCCCUGAUGACCUAGAGGAGGUGAGAUCUCUAUGCAGAGAUUGGUUUCCUAUAGAAUACCCUCAGUCAUGGUAUGAGGACAUUACUUCUUCAGAAAGGUUUUUUGCCCUGGCAGCGGUGCACAAAAGUGAGAUUAUAGGCCUUAUUGUGGCUGAAAUAAAGCCUUACUUGAAACUGAAUGCAGAAGAUCGGGGAAUACUGUCAAGAUGGUUCGCCUCAAAGGAUACACUUGUUGCUUACAUACUGUCUUUAGGGGUAGCUCGUUCAUUCCGUCGGUCGGGCGUGGCGACGAUGCUACUGGACGUGCUCAUCAACCACCUGGCGGGCCCCGUGCCGCAGCCGCCGCAUGAGCACCGCGUCAAGGCCAUAUUCCUGCACGUGCUCACCACCAACACAGAAGCUAUACUUUUUUAUGAACACAGAAGAUUCCGGCUGCACUCUUUUCUGCCGUACUACUACUCGAUCAAGGGGCGGUGUAAAGACGGCUUCACGUACGUGUACUACGUGAACGGCGGGCACGCGCCGUGGGGGCUGUACGACUACGUGAAGUACGUGGCGCGCGCGGCGUGGCGCGGCGGCGGCCUGUACCCCUGGCUCUGGGGCAAGCUGCGCACCGCGCUCACCAUCGCCUGGCACAGGUAGUGCCGCGACCCCAGUGUGUGCUACACGAACAGUGCCGACUAACCUGCUAAUAUUACGCAACAUUUUCGCUAGUUUUUAAACUAGUUUUACUUUUGUCAUUCUUCUGCAAAGCAUGUUUUUGUGAUUGAAUAAGUCCGUCGAACAAAUAUUGUGACUCACCCGAUGUUUUUCCUUAGAUGUAACAGGCGUUUCUCCAGCUCGACGACGCGGGUGGGCGCGGUUCGCUCUGAUGGGGAAGCGAUCUAACUCUACGCAUUCCUGACAUUCUCUCACCAUGAGAAUCGGAACACUUUAUGGAUUUCGUUUACAACUUUGCUACGUUUUCAGAAAAUUCCACAAAACGUAGAUGUGCAGUGUGUAAGCAGUGAUUGAACGAGAGAAUUUAUUAAUAUCACUAAGUUAUGAAUAAUUUAUAGAGAGCACUGUUUAUUGUUUUUAUACAUUGACGUGAAGCCAAAUUUGAUAGUAGUAUAUUAGCACAACAAGAACAACACCAACCCUGUGCUGUGGACAUAUUUUUAUAUUAUUACGUAAUUAGACUAGAAGGGGAAACACCAACACGAACAAACUCAAACAAACAUUGCUCCCGCGAGGGACCAUCAAUUUGGCUUCAUAUAUCAAACUGACAAAGUUAUUUGUGAUAUUUUUAUUACUCAAAGCUUUAAAUUUAAUAAUUCAUUGUAUUUUCAUAUAAAACGAAAGAAGGAUGAUCAUUUUGUACACGAAAAUACAAUUUGGUUUAAAAUAGUUGCGUUUGUUUGAGUAAGAGGGACGGCAUCGAUUGCUACAGAAAUAUAACAAAGUGUCACGUGCCAUGAUAUACUGCCAAGAUUACUAAAGUAAGGUGCCUGUGUGUUCAAUGUAAGACAUAAUGUACGGAUAAACAAUAAUGUUGUAACAAUAAAACUAUUAUUUAUGAGCAAUACCUGUAUCGGCUGCAUGAGCAAUGUACGCGUGAGCGGAGAGAUGGCCAAUGAGGGCGAGACAGCUGUCAGCGUUAGUCUGAUACCUACCAAUCACUGCACAGACAAGACGGACCAUCUAUUUCGGGUCAAAACAGACUAUCUACCUAUCAUAAGACUGUGGAACUACGAAACACCAAAUAACCCGAAUGCAUCUAAUAUCUUACGUAUACGUAUUGUAUAUGUAACAAGCCUAUUAUGACCUUAAAGCUCCUUUAAAAUUAAUAGUAAAGUUACAUCAGAUUUUGAAAAAGCUCUUUGACUAUAAUUCAGCAAUUUACGCAACUGAUGAGAUUAAAAGACCUGUGUUUGAUUAAUGUACAUAAUAAUUAUUAUUUUUGCUGAUUGCAGGAAAUACCAAUUUUAAUAUGGUUCUAAAUGAGACAUAAUGCUGAUAUCUGUUUCAAGCUCUGUGAGUACGUCCAUUAGUAAACGCUUUUAGUGUAUAAUAUAAUACUCUAAUACUACACAAUACCGUAGAAUCUUCUCUAGGUAAAUGUAAAUUAUUCGAUUAGUAAUUUAUGUAAAUAGUUUUUUAACGUGUAUUUAAAUAGGCAUGUACAGAUUACGAAUAAGACGAAUUUACAAUUAAUAUUAUCAAAAGAAGGCUGUUGUAUUGUUUAUUUCACGUGCCUAAACGUCUUCGAAGUUUUGUGAAGUAUUAAAGUAAGAUAUGUACAUUGUGUUCAGUUUGUAAAGUUUUUUAGUAGGUAAUACACCUAUAAAACUGAACAGUCUCUCCGAUGCAUGCAUUUGUUACGAUAAAUUAAUGUUCAAAGCCUCAGAGAGCUUUUCUCUCUUAGUGCUUUUAAUUAAAUGUACACUAUCUAGCCGAUAAAUGGUUUAAUUCACUUUCUGUGUUUCGUGUAUAUUUUGGGCACUUCAGAACAAUUUAUUUCUGCAUCCAGUCAAUCCAGUGUACGUAGAAUUAUUAAUGUACUCACUUGAACCAAAGUAUUUUAAUGUGUUAGUUUUGUUAUCACUCAUACAAUCGAUGUUUAAUUCUUUUUGAGUUAGUAUUAAUUAAAUUAAUGUUUAUCAUUAAUUUGAACAUUGAGUAUUAUUAUUCGGACCAUUAUUAAAUUAUUUGUAUAAAUUCCAAAAGCAGUCAUGAUAGUUGUAUUACGUUUUGUAAUUUGUGAUAUUGUCAUCACUCGACUUGUAAAGUUUUGCAACAUUGUAAUAUUAAGGUCGACAUUUGUGUGUUAAAUUGUCCUUUUCUAUAUAGCACGUUCCUAAUGUUAAAUGGAAAUUUUACGUUAUAAUUCUAUGUUUAAUACUCUAAAAUAGGAAAAGAUUUUAGCUUCCAAAUAAAUAUCAUUGUUGACAA
RNAcentral lists this unclassified non-coding RNA (3210 nucleotides) under Helicoverpa zea (corn earworm). Its description in RNAcentral is "n-alpha-acetyltransferase 60, transcript variant X2". Lineage: Eukaryota; Metazoa; Arthropoda; Insecta; Lepidoptera; Noctuidae. The record is from RNAcentral.